RNAcentral lists this ribosomal RNA (252 nucleotides) under uncultured bacterium. RNAcentral describes it as "partial 16S ribosomal RNA". It matches the Rfam family "Bacterial small subunit ribosomal RNA", at positions 524 to 775 of the family's 1533-position model. The record is from RNAcentral.
UACGUAGGUGGCAAGCGUUGUCCGGAUUUACUGGGCGUAAGCGCGCGCAGGCGGACUGAUCAGUCUGGGGUGAAAUCUCACGGCUCAACUGUGAGCGGUCCCUGGAUACUGUCAGUCUUGAGAGACCUAGAGGAGAGCGGAAUUCCCGGUGUAGUGGUGGAAUGCGUAGAUAUCGGGAAGACACCAGUGGCGAAAGCGGACUCUCUGGGGGUUUCUGACGCUGAGGCGCGGAAAGCGUGGGGAGCCGAACCG